Molecule: ribosomal RNA, 498 nt
Filed under: uncultured bacterium
Lineage: Bacteria
Description: bacterial SSU rRNA
Rfam family: Bacterial small subunit ribosomal RNA
Source: RNAcentral
GAUGAACGCUAGCGGCAGGCUUAAUACAUGCAAGUCGAGGGGCAGCACGGUUAGCAAUAACUGGUGGCGACCGGCGCACGGGUGCGUAACACGUAUACAAUCUACCUUAAACAGGGGAUAGCCUUUCGAAAGAGAGAUCAAUACCCCGUAAUAAAUUGAACGGCAUCGUUUGAUUUUGAAAGCUCCGGCGGUUUGAGAUGAGUAUGCGUCUGAUUAGCUAGUUGGUGAGGUAACGGCUCACCAAGGCGACGAUCAGUAGGGGAUCUGAGAGGACUAACCCCCACACUGGUACUGAGACACGGACCAGACUCCUACGGGAGGCAGCAGUAAGGAAUAUUGGUCAAUGGAGGCAACUCUGAACCAGCCAUGCCGCGUGCAGGAUGACGGCCCUAUGGGUUGUAAACUGCUUUAUACAAGAGAAAACCCUGGUACGUGUACCAGGUUGAUAGUAUUGUAAGAAUAAGCAUCGGCUAACUCGUGCCAGCAAGCCGCGGUAAU